Molecule: ribosomal RNA, 371 nt
Filed under: uncultured bacterium
Lineage: Bacteria
Description: bacterial SSU rRNA
Rfam family: Bacterial small subunit ribosomal RNA
Source: RNAcentral
GUAGGGUGCGAGCGUUAAUCGGAAUUACUGGGCGUAAAGGGUGCGCAGGCGGUGGCUCAAGCCAGGCGUGAAAUCCCCGGGCUUAACCUGGGAAUGGCGUUUGGGACUGGGCUGCUAGAGUGUGGCAGAGGGAGGUGGAAUUCCACGUGUAGCAGUGAAAUGCGUAGAGAUGUGGAGGAACACCGAUGGCGAAGGCAGCCUCCUGGGCCAGCACUGACGCUCAUGCACGAAAGCGUGGGGAGCAAACAGGAUUAGAUACCCUGGUAGUCCACGCCCUAAACGAUGUCAACUGGUUGUUGGGGAAGGAAACUUCCUUAGUAACGAAGCUAACGCGUGAAGUUGACCGCCUGGGGAGUACGGCCGCAAGGUUA